Lutra lutra (Eurasian river otter) is the source of this 147-nucleotide small nuclear RNA. RefSeq annotates it as U4 spliceosomal RNA. The record is from RefSeq and is a predicted model, not a curated record. The transcript has a single exon. Lineage: Eukaryota; Metazoa; Chordata; Mammalia; Carnivora; Mustelidae.
AGCUUUGCGCAGUGGCAGUAUCGUAGCCAAUGAGGUUUAUCCGAGGCGCGAUUAUUGCUAAUUAAAGAAAAGUCCUGGGGCUUUUGAUCAAAAGAACCUGUUACGGGGCGCCUGGGUGGCUCAGUGGGUUGGGCUGCUGCCUUCAGC